Molecule: ribosomal RNA, 1001 nt
Filed under: Campylobacter jejuni
Lineage: Bacteria; Pseudomonadati; Campylobacterota; Epsilonproteobacteria; Campylobacterales; Campylobacteraceae
Description: partial 23S ribosomal RNA
Rfam family: Bacterial large subunit ribosomal RNA
Source: RNAcentral
CGAGGGGAAUUGAAACAUCUUAGUACCCUCAGGAAAAGAAAUCAAUAGAGAUUGCGUCAGUAGCGGCGAGCGAAAGCGCAAGAGGGCAAACCCAGUGCUUGCACUGGGGGUUGUAGGACUGCAAUGUGCAAGAGGUAAGUUUAGCAGAACAUUCUGGAAAGUAUAACCAUAGAGGGUGAUAGUCCCGUAUGCGAAAAACAAACCUUAGCUAGCAGUAUCCUGAGUAGGGCGGGACACGAGGAAUCCUGUCUGAAUCCGGGUCGACCACGAUCCAACCCUAAAUACUAAUACCAGAUCGAUAGUGCACAAGUACCGUGAGGGAAAGGUGAAAAGAACUGAGGUGAUCAGAGUGAAAUAGAACCUGAAACCAUUUGCUUACAAUCAUUCAGAGCCCUAUGUAGGAAUACAGGGUGAUGGACUGCCUUUUGCAUAAUGAGCCUGCGAGUUGUGGUGUCUGGCAAGGUUAAGCAAACGCGAAGCCGUAGCGAAAGCGAGUCUGAAUAGGGCGCUUAGUCAGAUGCUGCAGACCCGAAACGAAGUGAUCUAUCCAUGAGCAAGUUGAAGCUAGUGUAAGAACUAGUGGAGGACUGAACCCAUAGGCGUUGAAAAGCCCCGGGAUGACUUGUGGAUAGGGGUGAAAGGCCAAUCAAACUUCGUGAUAGCUGGUUCUCUCCGAAAUAUAUUUAGGUAUAGCGUUGUGUCGUAAUAUAAGGGGGUAGAGCACUGAAUGGGCUAGGGCAUACACCAAUGUACCAAACCCUAUCAAACUCCGAAUACCUUAUAUGUAAUCACAGCAGUCAGGCGGCGAGUGAUAAAAUCCGUCGUCAAGAGGGAAACAACCCAGACUACCAGCUAAGGUCCCUAAAUCUUACUUAAGUGGAAAACGAUGUGAAGUUACUUAAACAACCAGGAGGUUGGCUUAGAAGCAGCCAUCCUUUAAAGAAAGCGUAAUAGCUCACUGGUCUAGUGAUUUUGCGCGGAAAAUAUAACGGGGCUAAAGU